GGGGUUGUGGCUCAGUGGUAGAGCACUUGCCUUGCAUGUAUGAGACCCUGCAUUCAAUCCUCAGCACCA
This 69-nucleotide transfer RNA is filed under the name Ictidomys tridecemlineatus (thirteen-lined ground squirrel). RNAcentral describes it as "Spermophilus tridecemlineatus (thirteen-lined ground squirrel) tRNA". It matches the Rfam family "tRNA". Rfam says of the family: Transfer RNA (tRNA) molecules are approximately 80 nucleotides in length. Their secondary structure includes four short double-helical elements and three loops (D, anti-codon, and T loops). Further hydrogen bonds mediate the characteristic L-shaped molecular structure. tRNAs have two regions of fundamental functional importance: the anti-codon, which is responsible for specific mRNA codon recognition, and the 3' end, to which the tRNAs corresponding amino acid is attached (by aminoacyl-tRNA synthetases). tRNAs cope with the degeneracy of the genetic code in two manners: having more than one tRNA (with a specific anti-codon) for a particular amino acid; and 'wobble' base-pairing, i.e. permitting non-standard base-pairing at the 3rd anti-codon position. Lineage: Eukaryota; Metazoa; Chordata; Mammalia; Rodentia; Sciuridae. The record is from Rfam by way of RNAcentral.